RNAcentral lists this microRNA precursor (158 nucleotides) under Oryza brachyantha (malo sina). Its description in RNAcentral is "MIR812 microRNA precursor family". It matches the Rfam family "MIR812 microRNA precursor family", at positions 27 to 187 of the family's 205-position model. The record is from Rfam by way of RNAcentral. Lineage: Eukaryota; Viridiplantae; Streptophyta; Magnoliopsida; Poales; Poaceae.
UAUAAUUUUUGACUCUCUGUCUUAUUUAAAUUUUUUUGUGAUUGAUAUUUUUAUUUUUAUUAGAUGAUAAAUCAUGAAUCUUUACGUGUGACUAAUUUUUUUUUAAUUUUUUGAAAUUUUUUUAAAUAAGACGGAUGGUUAAACGUUGGAUACGGAAA